AGCUCAGCUGGCAGAGCAUCUGUCUUGUAAACAGGGGGUCGGAGGUUCGAAUCCUCNC
This 58-nucleotide transfer RNA is filed under the name Ligilactobacillus salivarius. RNAcentral describes it as "tRNA-Thr". It matches the Rfam family "tRNA", at positions 9 to 63 of the family's 71-position model. From Rfam's summary of the family: Transfer RNA (tRNA) molecules are approximately 80 nucleotides in length. Their secondary structure includes four short double-helical elements and three loops (D, anti-codon, and T loops). The record is from RNAcentral. Lineage: Bacteria; Bacillati; Bacillota; Bacilli; Lactobacillales; Lactobacillaceae.